Anneissia japonica is the source of this 1265-nucleotide long non-coding RNA. RefSeq lists it as uncharacterized. The record is from RefSeq and is a predicted model, not a curated record. The transcript has 2 exons. NCBI's taxonomy places the organism in Eukaryota, Metazoa, Echinodermata, Crinoidea, Comatulida, Comatulidae.
UUGUCCAGGAAGCGAGUUACAAGUCAUUAAGAACGAUAUGUCUAAACAAAUAAGAUUCGUUGAAACCGCUUGCUUGCAUAAUUUCAUAGUAGACUUAUCCGUCGACUAUGCAUCUAGAUUCUCAUCUGCAUCGUUCGUAAAUGAUUAUGCAAAUUAAUUUCUAGCCGACCGAAUAAAUGUUACCCUGUUCUGGUAAAAAUUAUUGUUCAUUUGUAGCCUUUCGCAGCGGAAGAUUUAAACUAUUUUCUCCAGAACAAGUCGUAUUAUUGCGCAUUACUAUUAGGACAGCAGCUGCUUUGGGAAACUUUGGCGGUUCAAGUUCAAAAUCGUAGCUGGAAGGCGAGGUUCUAAUAUUGACGUUUACCUUCGAAUUACGUGUAAGUUAAAUGGAUGUUUAAAGGUGGAUUCGCUUGUUUAAACAUAGAGGACCCCUGCAUUAAACUGAAUAAUCCAAAUCUAAGAACUGUUACGUAAAACAAUUCACCGGAUGGGAGACGUCAACCCAGUCACAUAGUCGAAGACAUUACUUUUAAGUUCGUGACUUACUUGGAAGCGUUCUGCAACUUAUUGAAAUAUAUAUGAUACCGGUACAAAUGGUUAUAUAACAUUUACAAAAAGCAAUAACAAAAUGAAUUCAGUCAAAACUGAUAGACACAGCUGCUGUGGUGAGAAACACAAGACAAAAUCACCAUCAACAUCACCGAAGCUUGCUCCGAGAGCCAAGACGCCGUUCUGCACUCAGCCACCGGCCGUCCGACCAGAAAUUUCGUCAUCUUCACAUGGUACAGUAUUGAAGCCCCGGUGCUGUCUCGCGGCAAAGUCUAGCACAACCCGCAAGGAGGAACGACCCCGGUCCAUUCUGCAAUUGAAGAGUCUUACAAGUACUGAGAUGCUGUCUUUAACCAGGCCUGACAAGAAGCCACAGAGGCCUACAUCUUUCGCAGAUUCAAGAAGACACGAGUAUCUAUUACAGAAGAAUUUCGAUGAAAUUAAGCGGUGCCGAUAUAUUCGUCGGAAAGAAACUACACAAGAUAUGCAAGCACCAGUCAAUCCCAUUAAUAAGACGCGCAAUCAAUUCUCAAUUGGCAAAAUAAAAUAGCAUCUUAUCGUCUGCUACAUCAUGACAACCGAACUCACGCCACAUACCGGUAAUAUUUGUAUUAGAAAUAUUUUUUCCAAUCUAUAACACUGCAUCAAUUUUCGAUUAAUCUGUUAUGGAGAGGCCCUAGCCCGUUUAUACAAAGUCGAAUAAAAUGUUUGAACCA